This is a non-coding RNA of Peromyscus maniculatus bairdii (prairie deer mouse), 1698 nucleotides long. NCBI's taxonomy places the organism in Eukaryota, Metazoa, Chordata, Mammalia, Rodentia, Cricetidae. The record is from RefSeq and is a predicted model, not a curated record.
CUCUUCUCUCUGGCUCCGAGCUGCGCGCAGUGUCUGGGUGGUGAUCCGAGGAGUUCCUGCGAUCUUCUGCCUCCGGGACUCGGCUGUCUUCCUUAUGCUAAAAAAACUGAGGUUCCGCAGCAGGUUCACCAGCCUGUUAACUCGUUAAUGCCCGAGGUGCACCUGGAAGAAGGGCCCGGCAAUCUGGAGCGGUGCCCAGCUUCUACCCGCCACCUGGAGGGAAACUGAGGCACUUCUCUGGCUUCUACAGCUUCUCUGGCCAGGGAUGCAGACCAGAGGGAUGCUGUGUGACGUUGAAGAAAGUUACUCAACUGCUAGGAACUUCGGCUUGGCGGACAAAUGAAGACCGGUGACUGUAAUGGGGUGCACCAACUUCCCGGUGAGUUAUAGAGAGACCCUCAAGUUCAUGUGACAAUGAGAACGGAGUUUAGGUUAGACUCUGGGUUCAACUUCACCUUGUCGACAGCUGUUGAGAGAUCUAAGACUAAUUAGCUCCACAAGCACAGUAGAAGCAGAGGUAAGGGUCCCACUUUCACAACUCACAUUGAGUUACCAGUCCAGGCACCAGAAGUAAACUUGGUGGCUUCAAGAAUGGUAGCAGAAAUUCCCAGCAUGCCCCUCUGCACUGAACUUCUGGCUCGUCUUAAGGGCCGGAGUCUGCAUCCCUUUUCCUUGAAUUUGGAUGGAUCCUGGGACCUAACUGUACCAAUAAGACAUAAUGGAGAUGAUGCCUGGAGUCUGGAGGGAACCUGCAUUUGGAGCUGUGGCUCAGUGGAUAAAGAGCAAGCAUGAAGGCCUGAGUUCGAUCCCCAACGCUGCACACAUCAGUAGUUCCAGUCCUGGGAAAGGGGGAGGCAGGAGGAUUAGAAAUUCAAGGUCAUCCUCAGCUACACAGGGAGUUCCAAGUGAGUCUGAGCUACAUGAGACCCUGUCUCAUUGAAAAAUAAAUACAAUGAGCAAGGAGCAGGGAUGCCUUUAAUCCCAGCACUCGUGGAAGGAGCCGUCUCCAUGGAACGUGACCAGAAUGGACCAAACAUUCUGCCACAGGAGAUUGCCCUACUGAUCAACCUGCUCAGCUGAGAUCCAUUCGGGAGAGGUUUCAGAAGCCUACAGUCUGCAGUCUGAGGAAACAAGAUCAGCUGAGGAAUUGACGAAUGAGCAAAAUGCAACCUGAGGAAAAAAUAAAUACAAUGAACCAGGAUGUAGGUCAAUGGUAGAGUGCUCACCUAGCACGCAAGGUGCCCUGGGUCCAUCCUCAGCCCAGCAAAAAUUCCAAGAGCUCUCAGCACCCUUACAUUUUAGUUGCAAUUUUAAAGUAUGCCUUAGGCUGGAGGCAAGAAACCACUCCUCCCCAUCAUCCAUUCAGCUUGGGUGGAUGUAACACAAGGGUGCUUUUCUCAAGCUAGCAACAGUGGGGGGCCCCUCACCCUUGGACAUCAGGGACUUGGUAGUAGAAUGUUUAGAUAUACAUGUGAUGCUAGGCUGCCCGAUGUGGAGUCCUGGUGGCUCACAGCCCCUCUAGGGAGACGGCAGGACAUGAAUGCCCAGCUCCACCUCUCCUUAAUCUGCACCCCUCCCUUCCCAUCGACAUCAAUACUUCAAAUCAACUGAGCCCAGCAAGAAGCUGGAAGCCAGGUAGGUGGCUCUCUGUGAGUUCGAGGCCAGCCUGGUCUACAGAGCUAGUUCAAGGGCACACAA